CUGAUGUUAGCGGCGGACGGGUGAGUAACACGUGGGUAACCUGCCUGUAAGACUGGGAUAACUCCGGGAAACCGGGGCUAAUACCGGAUGGUUGUUUGAACCGCAUGGUUCAAACAUAAAAGGUGGCUUCGGCUACCACUUACAGAUGGACCCGCGGCGCAUUAGCUAGUUGGUGAGGUAACGGCUCACCAAGGCAACGAUGCGUAGCCGACCUGAGAGGGUGAUCGGCCACACUGGGACUGAGACACGGCCCAGACUCCUACGGGAGGCAGCAGUAGGGAAUCUUCCGCAAUGGACGAAAGUCUGACGGAGCAACGCCGCGUGAGUGAUGAAGGUUUUCGGAUCGUAAAGCUCUGUUGUUAGGGAAGAACAAGUACCGUUCGAAUAGGGCGGUACCUUGACGGUACCUAACCAGAAAGCCACGGCUAACUACGUGCCAGCAGCCGCGGUAAUACGUAGGUGGCAAGCGUUGUCCGGAAUUAUUGGGCGUAAAGGGCUCGCAGGCGGUUUCUUAAGUCUGAUGUGAAAGCCCCCGGCUCAACCGGGGAGGGUCAUUGGAAACUGGGGAACUUGAGUGCAGAAGAGGAGAGUGGAAUUCCACGUGUAGCGGUGAAAUGCGUAGAGAUGUGGAGGAACACCAGUGGCGAAGGCGACUCUCUGGUCUGUAACUGACGCUGAGGAGCGAAAGCGUGGGGAGCGA
Molecule: ribosomal RNA, 700 nt
Filed under: Bacillus sp. RS-A-3
Lineage: Bacteria; Bacillati; Bacillota; Bacilli; Caryophanales; Bacillaceae
Description: bacterial SSU rRNA
Rfam family: Bacterial small subunit ribosomal RNA
Source: RNAcentral